Molecule: ribosomal RNA, 500 nt
Filed under: uncultured Myrionecta
Lineage: Eukaryota; Ciliophora; Litostomatea; Cyclotrichida; Mesodiniidae
Description: bacterial SSU rRNA
Rfam family: Eukaryotic small subunit ribosomal RNA
Source: RNAcentral
CUUACCAGGUCAAGACAUGGGCGUGAUUGACAGGCUAAUGACUUUUCUCGAUUCCAUGGAUGGUGGUGCAUGGUCGCACUUAGUUGGUGCAGUGAUUUGUCAGGUUUAUUCCGGUAACGAACGAGACCUCGGCCUUGUAAAUAGCUAUGCUGCUUACAGGGACAUUGGCGGCUACGCCAAGGAAGCUCGAGGCAAUUGCAGAUCUGGAAUGCCCUUAGAUGUCCUGGGUCGCACGCGUGCUACAAUGACGCCACGAACGAGCUUGCGUGAUGAAAGUUACGCAUAAUCAGCAGUCGGCGUCUUAAGGGAUAGUCUCUUGUAACUGUGGGACUCCAACUAGGAAUGUCUCGUAAGCACAAGUCAACAUCUUGUGUUGAUUACGUCCCUGCUCUUUGUACACACCGCCCGUCGCUCCUACCGAUCGAGUGUUUAGGUGAAUUUGAUGGACGUAAGGAAGUCAAAUAAACCUGAGCACUAGAGGAAGGAGAAGUCGAACAUGC